RNAcentral lists this ribosomal RNA (424 nucleotides) under uncultured bacterium. RNAcentral describes it as "bacterial SSU rRNA". It matches the Rfam family "Bacterial small subunit ribosomal RNA", at positions 8 to 418 of the family's 1533-position model. The record is from RNAcentral.
AGAGUUUGAUCCUGGCUCAGAGCGAACGCUGGCGGCGUGCCUAACACAUGCAAGUCGAACGUGAACGGGGGCAACCCUUAGUAAAGUGGCGUACGGGUGAGUAACGCGUAGGUAAUCUACCCUAGAAUCUGGAAUAACCUGCCGAAAGGCGGGCUAAUACUGGAUAGAGCGAGGAAUCCGUAAUAGGGUUUUUCGGGAAAGGGGGCUCGCAAGAGCUCUUGUUCUAGGAUGAGCCUGCGUCUCAUUAGCUAGUUGGUGGGGUAAAGGCCCACCAAGGCUUUGAUGGGUAGCUGGUCUGAGAGGAUGAUCAGCCACACUGGAACUGAAACACGGUCCAGACUCCUACGGGAGGCAGCAGUGGGGAAUCUUGCGCAAUGGACGAAAGUCUAAAGGGCAGCCACGCCGCGUGAGUGAAGAAGGCCUU